CGAGACCUCGGGACGCAGCAGUGAGGAAUAUUGGUCAAUGGGCGGGAGCCUGAACCAGCCAAGUCGCGUGAGGGAAGACGGUCCUAUGGAUUGUAAACCUCUUUAGGCGGGGAGCAAUGCCGGGCACGCGUGCCCGGAGGGAGAGUACCCGCAGAAUAAGCAUCGGCUAACUCCGUGCCAGCAGCCGCGGUAAUACGGAGGAUGCGAGCGUUAUCCGGAUUUAUUGGGUUUAAAGGGUGCGUAGGCGGAUUUUUAAGUCAGCGGUAAAAUGUCCGGGCUCAACCCGGGCCGGCCGU
This 296-nucleotide ribosomal RNA is filed under the name uncultured bacterium. RNAcentral's name for it is "partial 16S ribosomal RNA". It matches the Rfam family "Bacterial small subunit ribosomal RNA", at positions 333 to 627 of the family's 1533-position model. The record is from RNAcentral.